CCAAGAAAUAGCUCUCUUUAGCUCUCACCAGAUCAAAUUAGGGGGCUGCUAAUUAUUGAGACACAGGACAGAGACAGGUAUUUGCAGAAUGAGGAAUGGAAGUGUUCUUAUUUUUCUGUCUCAACAGGCAGAAUAUGUACGUUUGUAUGGGGGAAGGAAUGGAGGGGAGAGCAGGAAGAUGGUGAGGAGAGAAUUUGUGUGAGCAUUUAGAAGAGCACAAAUGAAUAUCCGGUUGGAGAGAGAGAACUGGAUUAAUGUCUAGACCGAUGAAGCGACUGGCCUAUCAAUGGGAGGGCUUCUAUUUACCACAUCUCUCAGGAGUAACGAGGAACUACAAAGAGUAGACUACCGAACUGAAGUCCAUAUCAUGAAAAGUUACCUUGGACGGACAACGUGUCUGGAAAGAAGAGGUGACAAAUAUUGAAGAAGACUAGGCACAGACGUAGCAGUCCAAUGCAGACUUUCAACAAAAACUGAAAAACAUUAAUGAACAACAUCACAUCCCUAGAAGGCAGCUGGGAAUAACUGAAUGACAGCAGACCAUUGUCUAAAUCAGGGCAUCUGGUUAGCCUUCCCAUCUACAACUAUACAGACUGUUACUAAACUCAGGACAUCUACACCUCACUAAAAAGAACUGCUGCUGUGAUGCUCUGUCUUCACGCAUUACCAAACUGCACUAAAAAUAGUCUAAAUAAUUCAUGAAGAAGGUAGAUCAGGCCAAAGAAAACCUUUAAAAAUGGAAAAAGAAAACACCUUGUCAUUUUCUUCUGAGCCUUAUGACUCGAUCAUAUCAUCGAAUGAUUUUGGAGCUAAUUUUAACAGGCCGGGAGAAGGGAUGCCACGUUACGUUGCUAGGACAGGAAAUCGAUUGGAAAUCUCCAUUUUGCAAUCAGCAAACUCCAUUAUUCUUACUCUAAAUGGAGUCUGGUCUGAACCCUGGACCUCACAGUCAUCUCGCAAGCAGCAUAGAGUUUUGCCAGUAGAACCCACCGGCUGGCAUGGGAAGAGCUGAGGAAGAAUGAUUCCAGAGAGGAACAGAAAUCACUGAAUCUUCAGACUGCACUCCUGUGAACUAGCCUUGUCCAAUUAUGGAUCAGGUCUCUUUGUGGGGGCUGUGACUCCCCUUUUCAGAUGUUUUAGGCACCCAGGGACUCAGGCUUUUGGCUUCAGGGCUAUGGAGUACUCAAUUCACUUCCUUGUCUCCACCACCCACCCAACUGUAAAAUGGCCCUGAGGGAAUCCCUGUCCCUUUCCCUUAUUUGGCUCGGAGGAAGUACGCUGGGCACCAUUUUUAAUUGGCCUGGUACUGAGCCAAAAUUGAGGGGCCAAAUGAGACCCGAGGCUGAAACUGUUCAAGUUUCUCUGAAACUCUUCAGAGGUUGAAACUCUUCAGUGCAACUCUUCAGAAAUGAAGGGAGUUCUUUUCUGGGCAGUGAAGGAACACCAUGUAAUCUUGAGGGAAUCCAAUAGAGAUCAUUCAAGUUUCAAAUCAGGAACAUUUAGUGGAAGAUGGCCUGUGAAGAGCGCGAAUCAAUUUUGCAUAGUCUGCAGUCUGAAAUAAAGACGUUUACUGAA
Molecule: long non-coding RNA, 1575 nt
Organism: Ornithorhynchus anatinus (platypus)
Lineage: Eukaryota; Metazoa; Chordata; Mammalia; Monotremata; Ornithorhynchidae
Exons: 8
Source: RefSeq, a predicted model, not a curated record